UACAAACUACCAUUGACCAGUUGCAUGGUUCUGAACUGGACCUAAACCACUCCCCCACCUCCCAGGCUUGGUUCUUCCUUGGUGUGAACUGGCCAGGAUCCACCAGUCUAGUCUAGGCCAGACCAGAAAAUUUAAAGAAAAGAAUUUAAGGAAAUUAAAUAAACAAGGAAAAUGUUUUUGUUAACUGUCGCAAGGGUUUUGCGGUUGCCGG
RNAcentral lists this unclassified non-coding RNA (211 nucleotides) under Hevea brasiliensis (rubber tree). Lineage: Eukaryota; Viridiplantae; Streptophyta; Magnoliopsida; Malpighiales; Euphorbiaceae. The record is from RNAcentral.